RNAcentral lists this ribosomal RNA (774 nucleotides) under uncultured bacterium. RNAcentral's name for it is "bacterial SSU rRNA". It matches the Rfam family "Bacterial small subunit ribosomal RNA", at positions 1 to 775 of the family's 1533-position model. The record is from RNAcentral.
AAGAUAGAGUUUGAUCCUGGCUCAGAUUGAACGCUGGCGGUAUGCUUAACACAUGCAAGUCGAACGGUAGCUGGCCUUCGGGCGCUGACGAGUGGCGGACGGGUGAGUAACGCGUAGGAAUCUGCCUCAUAGUGGGGGACAACGUGGGGAAACUCACGCUAAUACCGCAUACGCCCUACGGGGGAAAGCGGGGGCUCUUCGGACCUCGCGCUAUGAGAUGAGCCUGCGUUAGAUUAGCUAGUUGGUAGGGUAAAGGCCUACCAAGGCGACGAUCUAUAGCUGGUCUGAGAGGACGAUCAGCCACACUGGGACUGAGACACGGCCCAGACUCCUACGGGAGGCAGCAGUGGGGAAUAUUGGACAAUGGGCGCAAGCCUGAUCCAGCAAUACCGCGUGUGUGAAGAAGGCCUUAGGGUUGUAAAGCACUUUCAAUGGGGAGGAAAACCUGCCGGUCAAUACCCGGCAGCUUGACAUUACCUAUAGAAGAAGCACCGGCUAACUCCGUGCCAGCAGCCGCGGUAAUACGGAGGGUGCGAGCGUUAAUCGGAAUUACUGGGCGUAAAGCGUGCGUAGGCGGUUCGUUAAGUCAGAUGUGAAAGCCCCGGGCUCAACCUGGGAACUGCAUUUGAAACUGGCUAACUAGAGUUGAGUAGAGGGGAGUGGAAUUUCAGGUGUAGCGGUGAAAUGCGUAGAUAUCUGAAGGAACACCAGUGGCGAAGGCGACUCCCUGGACUCAAACUGACGCUGAGGUACGAAAGCGUGGGUAGCAAACAG